UUUGGCGUCGGUGUAGCGCUUCGGGUCGUCCCCGAACUCGGCGAGCACCCGGGCAGCGAGGACCGUGCCCCAGGCCGGGCGUGG
This is a non-coding RNA of Frankia sp., 84 nucleotides long. The record is from Rfam. Lineage: Bacteria; Bacillati; Actinomycetota; Actinomycetes; Frankiales; Frankiaceae.